RNAcentral lists this unclassified non-coding RNA (380 nucleotides) under uncultured bacterium. Its description in RNAcentral is "contains 16S-23S intergenic spacer region". The record is from RNAcentral.
UCCAGUUAAUCACCGGCAGUCUCUCUAGAGUGCCCAGCAUUACCUGAUGGCAACUAAAGAUAAAGGUUGCGCUCGUUGCGGGACUUAACCCAACACUUCACAGCACGAGCUGACGACAGCCAUGCAGCACCUGUGGAAAAGCUCCUUGCGGAGAAAUGCACUUUCAUGCAUCGUCUUAACCAUGUCAAGCCUGGGUAAGGUUCUUCGCGUAGCCUCGAAUUAAACCACAUGCUCCACCGCUUGUGCGGGUCCCCGUCAAUUUCUUUGAGUUUCAGUCUUGCGACCGUACUCCCCAGGUGGUGGAUUUAAUGCGUUAGCGUCGGCACCAGGGGGAUCGACACCCCUGACACCUAAUCCACAUCGUUUACGGCAAGGACUAC